GUGCUGGAAGUCGAACCGGAAGUGGAAGUGGUCCGCGAAGGCUAUUUCGCCGCUGUUGUCAGGAGUAUUUUCACGUUUUAUUGCCAAGAGGUUCUUGGGUGUCUCUGGGGAGUCCCUGAGCCAGACCUUCCUCCAGACUGCAGCCUACCUCUUCAGAGCAGCUCUGCUGAGUUCACAGAUGACCAGUAAACUUCAGGCAUGCUAGAGAAAAAGGGUGGAGACCCAGUGUGGCCAUGCCAGCUAGUUGGACCUCACUCCAAAAAUCCUCAGCCCUGGCUCCAGAGGAUCAGGGCAGCUCCUAUGAGGGAUCAGUGUCCUUCAGGGAUGUGGCUAUCAAUUUCAGCAGAGAGGAAUGGCGGCACCUGGACCUUUCUCAGAGAAACCUGUACCGGGAUGUGAUGCUGGAGACCUACAGCCACCUGCUCUCAGUAGGGUAUCAAGUUCCUAAACCAGAGAUGGUCAUGUUGGAGCAAGGAAAGGAACCAUGGGCACUGCAGAGUGAGAGGCCACAUCAGAGCUGCCCAGGAAAGAAAUUAUGGGACCAUAAUCAACAUAGAAAAAUCAUUGGUUAUAAACCAGCCUUCUCUCAAGAUCAAAAAAUUUAUCCUAGGGAAAAAUCCUAUGGAUGUGCCGAAUUUGGAAAGAGCUUCACCUGGAACUCACAGUUCAAGGUACAUCUGAAAGUUCCCACAGGAGAAAAACUCUAUGUAUGUGUUGAAUGCGGGAGGGCUUUUGUACAGAAGCCAGAAUUCAGUACACAUCAGAAAACCCAUAUGAGAGAGAAGCCCUAUAAGUGCAAUGGAUGUGGAAAAUCCUUUUUUCAAGUAUCGUCUCUUUGCAGGCAUCAGAGAAUUCAUAACAGAGAAAAACUAUAUGAAUGUAGUGAAUGUGGGAAAGGCUUCCCUUAUAACUCAGAUCUCAGUAUACAUGAGAAAAUUCAUACUGGAGAGAGACACCAUGAAUGCACUGACUGUGGCAAAGCGUUCACACAAAAGUCCACACUCAAGAUGCAUCAGAAAAUCCACACAGGCGACAGAUCCUAUAUCUGUAUUGAAUGCGGAAAGGCCUUCAUCCAGAAAACACAAUUGAUUGCACACCGAAGAAUUCAUACUGGAGAAAAACCAUAUGAGUGCAGUAACUGUGGCAAAUCCUUCAUUUCCAAGACACAACUUCAGGUACAUCAACGUGUUCACACGAGAGUGAAGCCCUAUAUAGGUACCGAAUAUGGGAAGGUCUUCAGCAAUAAUUCCAACCUCAUUACACAUAAGAAAGUUCAAAGUAGACAGAAAUCUUGCAUAUGUACUGAGUGUGGGAAGGCCUUUACCUACAGGUCAGAGUUGAUUAUUCAUCAGAGAAUUCACACUGGAGAGAAACCGUAUGAAUGCAGUGACUGUGGUAAAGCCUUCACUCAGAAGUCAACACUCACAGUGCAUCAGAGAAUUCAUACAGGAGAAAAAUCAUAUGUAUGCAUGAAAUGUGGACUGGCCUUCAUCCGGAAGGCACACUUGGUUACACAUCAAAUAAUUCAUACUGGAGAGAAACCUUAUAAAUGUGGUCACUGUGGGAAAUUGUUUACUUCCAAGUCACAACUCCAUGUUCAUAAACGAAUUCACACAGGAGAAAAACCCUAUGUAUGCAAUAAAUGUGGGAAGGCAUUCACCAACCGGUCAAAUCUCAUUACACAUCAGAAAACUCAUACAGGAGAGAAAUCUUAUAUAUGUUCCAAAUGUGGAAAGGCCUUCACCCAGAGGUCAGACUUGAUUACACAUCAGAGAAUCCAUACUGGGGAGAAGCCUUAUGAAUGCAAUACUUGUGGAAAAGCCUUCACUCAGAAGUCAAAUCUUAAUAUACACCAGAAAAUUCAUACUGGAGAGAGACAGUAUGAAUGCCACGAAUGUGGGAAAGCCUUCAACCAGAAAUCAAUACUCAUUGUUCAUCAGAAAAUUCAUACAGGAGAGAAACCCUAUGUAUGCACCGAGUGUGGAAGAGCUUUCAUCCGCAAGUCAAACUUUAUUACUCAUCAAAGAAUUCAUACUGGAGAGAAACCAUAUGAAUGCAGUGACUGUGGGAAAUCCUUUACCUCCAAGUCUCAGCUCCUGGUGCAUCAGCCAAUUCACACAGGAGAGAAACUCUAUGUGUGUGCCGAGUGUGGGAAGGCCUUUAGUGGCAGGUCAAAUCUCAGUAAGCACCAGAAAACUCAUACCGGAGAGAAGCCCUACAUUUGUUCUGAAUGUGGGAAGACCUUUCGACAGAAGUCAGAGUUGAUUACACAUCAUAGAAUUCAUACUGGAGAGAAACCGUACGAGUGCAGUGACUGUGGGAAGUCUUUCACUAAAAAAUCACAGCUCCAAGUGCAUCAACGAAUUCACACCGGAGAGAAGCCUUAUAUGUGUGCUGAGUGUGGGAAGGCCUUCAGCAACAGGUCAAAUUUGAAUAAACAUCAGACAACACACACUGGAGACAAACCCUACAAGUGUGGCAUCUGUGGGAAAGGCUUCGUUCAGAAAUCAGUGUUCAGUGUCCAUCAGAGCAGCCACGCUUGAGAGAAACAGUGUGAGAAAACCCCACUGAGGGUUGGGUCUGAUUGUACACACUGUUGCAUGCAUGCAGCAGAAAAAUAUAUAUAUUAUUGUAAAUAGAAACAGCCACAUCAGAAUGUUACACAUGGCUGUUCUGGAGAGGGCCUCUGAGAAGGCACUGAAUGAGGCGAGGGACCCUUCCUGCAUUGUCACCAUCCCCAGCAAACCUUGGGGCAUUAUUCAUACUGACAAGGAACCGAGUCAGUUUGGUGAAUAGGAAAAGCCUUCUCAUGAAAACGACAAUAGAACACUGUUACCAAAUUCUUCAUAAGAAAGAUCAUAUUACGGGAAUGAUAAUCCUAUUUACUGUGGAUUAGGCGUAGUGCCAACAGUUUGAAUGUAUCUGAUGGCCCAUUACAUGCUGCUCAACAUCUUAGACCAAUGUCUGCUGACCCAUUACCUCCCUUCACCUCAUCCAGCACUGUGUCUGAAGCUUCACUAUUCUUCCUGCAAUUCUGGAUAUUUUGUGAUACACCAUGAUCCCCAACUUAGGACAAUGUCUGCUGACCCUCAGGAGGGUCCCUGGAGAUCACCUCUUCCUUCUUAACAUACCCUAGAACCAAGUCUGGUUCCCUUCAUUAUUCCCAUUUUACCUUACUCCUAAGUGUAUCACUCCUCAUGAAUUCCAGGAAAUAUGGAGGAAAACACAUUUCACUGUACAUGACUUUCAAUUAUUUAUCCUUUAUAUUUAUUGUAAUGUAAUAUUUUAGUACUGACAUAUAUGUGUUUGUAUACCCAUUUAUAUAAAAGACUAGUUUUUAGAGAAGUUUUAGGUUCACAGCAAAAUGGGGCAGAAGGUACAGAGAUUUCCCACAUAUCCCCUACCCUCACAUAUACACAGCCUCCCCCAUCAUCAGCAUCUGCCUUCAGAGUGGUACAUUUGUUACAAUUGAUGAAACUACAUUGACGCUACGGGCCAAAGUCCAUGGUUUAAUUUCAGUCUUGAUGUGCAUUCUGUGGGUUGAGACAGAUGAAUAAUGACAUGCAUGCAUCAUGAUAGAAGGAUAAAGAGCAGUUUUACUGUCCCAAUAAUCCUGUGUUUUGCCUACACCCCUACACCCCUGCCUAUUUUCUUUUGUCUCCAUAAUGUAGCCUCUGAACCAUACAGUAUGCAGCCUUUUCAGAUGGACUUGUUUCACAUAGUAGUGUGGAUUUAAGUUUCUUCCAUGUCUUUUCGUGGCUUGCUAGCCUUUUUUUUUUUUUUUUUUUUUUUUUGCAUUGAAUAAUAUGCUAUUGUCUGGAUGUACCGUGAUUUAUUUGUCCAUUCACCUGCUGAAGGACAUUUUAGUUGCUUCCAAGUUUUGUUGAUUAUGAAUAAAGAUGCUAUAAACA
Molecule: RNA transcript, 3911 nt
Organism: Piliocolobus tephrosceles (Ugandan red Colobus)
Lineage: Eukaryota; Metazoa; Chordata; Mammalia; Primates; Cercopithecidae
Gene: ZNF585B
Gene name: zinc finger protein 585B
Exons: 6
Source: RefSeq, a predicted model, not a curated record